This 274-nucleotide ribosomal RNA is filed under the name uncultured bacterium. Its description in RNAcentral is "partial 16S ribosomal RNA". It matches the Rfam family "Bacterial small subunit ribosomal RNA", at positions 523 to 796 of the family's 1533-position model. The record is from RNAcentral.
AUACGGGGGGAGCAAGCGUUGUCCGGAAUUACUGGGCGUAAAGGGCGUGUAGGCGGCUUGAUAAGUCAGAUGUGAAAGCCUUCCGCUUAACGGAAGAACUGCAUUUGAAACUGUCGGGCUUGAGUGCGAGAGAGGGUAGUGGAAUUCCCAGUGUAGCGGUGAAAUGCGUAGAUAUUGGGAAGAACACCAGUAGCGAAGGCGGCUACCUGGCUCGUAACUGACGCUAAGGCGCGAAAGCGUGGGUAGCAAACAGGAUUAGAAACCCCGGUAGUCC